ACAUCCAGAGAACUUAGCAGAGAUGCUUUGGUGCCUUCGGGAACUCUGAGACAGGUGCUGCAUGGCUGUCGUCAGCUCGUGUUGUGAAAUGUUGGGUUAAGUCCCGNAACGAGCGCAACCCUUAUCCUUUGUUGCCAGCGGUUCGGCCGGGAACUCAAAGGAGACUGCCGGUGAUAAACCGGAGGAAGGUGGGGAUGACGUCAAGUCAUCAUGGCCCUUACGGCCAGGGCUACACACGUGCUACAAUGGCGCAUACAAAGAGAAGCGACCUCGCGAGAGCAGGCGGACCUCAUAAAGUGCGUCGUAGUCCGGAUUGGAGUCUGCAACUCGACUCCAUGAAGUCGGAAUCGCUAGUAAUCGUAGAUCAGAAUGCUACGGUGAAUACGUUCCCGGGCCUUGUACACACCGCCCGUCACACCAUGGGAGUGGGUUGCAAAAGAAGUAGGUAGCUUAACCUUCGGGAGGGCGCUUACCACUUUGUGAUUCAUGACUGGGGUGAAGUCGUAACAAGGUAAGCGUAGCGAG
Molecule: ribosomal RNA, 525 nt
Filed under: uncultured bacterium
Lineage: Bacteria
Description: bacterial SSU rRNA
Rfam family: Bacterial small subunit ribosomal RNA
Source: RNAcentral